UUGCGGCCCCAGGUCAGGCGUGAAU
RNAcentral lists this ribosomal RNA (25 nucleotides) under Pseudotaxus chienii. RNAcentral's name for it is "partial nuclear 28S ribosomal RNA". The record is from RNAcentral. Lineage: Eukaryota; Viridiplantae; Streptophyta; Pinopsida; Cupressales; Taxaceae.